CCUACGGGGUGCUGCAGUGGGGAAUAUUGGACAAUGGGCGAAAGCCCGAUCCAGCCAUGCCGCGUGUGUGAAGAAGGCCUUCGGGUUGUAAAGCACUUUCAGUGGGGAAGAAAGCCUUGGGGCUAAUACCCUCGAGGAAGGACAUCACCCACAGAAGAAGCACCGGCUAACUCCGUGCCAGCAGCCGCGGUAAUACGGAGGGUGCGAGCGUUAAUCGGAAUUACUGGGCGUAAAGCGCGCGUAGGCGGUCUGAUAAGCCGGUUGUGAAAGCCCCGGGCUCAACCUGGGAACGGCAUCCGGAACUGUCAGGCUAGAGUGCAGGAGAGGAAGGUAGAAUUCCCGGUGUAGCGGUGAAAUGCGUAGAGAUCGGGAGGAAUACCAGUGGCGAAGGCGGCCUUCUGGACUGACACUGACGCUGAGGUGCGAAAGCGUGGGUAGCAAACAGGAUUAGAUACCCGGGUAGUC
Molecule: ribosomal RNA, 465 nt
Filed under: Vreelandella stevensii
Lineage: Bacteria; Pseudomonadati; Pseudomonadota; Gammaproteobacteria; Oceanospirillales; Halomonadaceae
Description: partial 16S ribosomal RNA
Rfam family: Bacterial small subunit ribosomal RNA
Source: RNAcentral